Molecule: transfer RNA, 73 nt
Filed under: Xenopus laevis (African clawed frog)
Lineage: Eukaryota; Metazoa; Chordata; Amphibia; Anura; Pipidae
Rfam family: tRNA
About the family: Transfer RNA (tRNA) molecules are approximately 80 nucleotides in length. Their secondary structure includes four short double-helical elements and three loops (D, anti-codon, and T loops).
Source: Rfam by way of RNAcentral
UCCCUUACCUCUCAGUUGGUAGAGCAUCAGACUUUUAAUCUGAGGGUCCAGGGUUCAAGUCCCUGUUUGGGCG